The sequence is a transfer RNA, 75 nucleotides long. It matches the Rfam family "tRNA". Rfam says of the family: Transfer RNA (tRNA) molecules are approximately 80 nucleotides in length. Their secondary structure includes four short double-helical elements and three loops (D, anti-codon, and T loops). Further hydrogen bonds mediate the characteristic L-shaped molecular structure. tRNAs have two regions of fundamental functional importance: the anti-codon, which is responsible for specific mRNA codon recognition, and the 3' end, to which the tRNAs corresponding amino acid is attached (by aminoacyl-tRNA synthetases). tRNAs cope with the degeneracy of the genetic code in two manners: having more than one tRNA (with a specific anti-codon) for a particular amino acid; and 'wobble' base-pairing, i.e. permitting non-standard base-pairing at the 3rd anti-codon position.
GGUUCGUUAGCUUAGUUGGUAGAGCAUCUGACUUUUAAUCAGAAGACCUGGGUUCAAAUCCUAGACGAGCCACCA